This is an RNA transcript of Alligator mississippiensis (American alligator), 2895 nucleotides long. RefSeq lists it as uncharacterized. The transcript is spliced from 2 exons. Lineage: Eukaryota; Metazoa; Chordata; Crocodylia; Alligatoridae. The record is from RefSeq and is a predicted model, not a curated record.
CGUCGCUCAGCCCCGCCCCCUCCGGCCCGGCCCGCCCUGCCCCGCCACCCACGGAGCCCUUCUCCCAGCAGGCCGCGCGGUACCGCGUCACUUCCCGGGAAGCCCCCGGGGGAGCGUGGAGUGCCCACCAUCUUGGAGGCGGGCAAGGUGGGGCAGAAGGGCUCGUUUGGCCGGUGAGACUCAGAGGGGUGAAGCCAGAGCGAUGCCUGAGCGGCCAUGUUGGAAUAGGGCACUUAGCCUUCCCUUCCCCGCUUUCCUUGUGGGCGGAGAGAGCAGAGUGUGGGGCCUGGGCGGGCAGAGGCUUCCCCCACUUCCACCAGGGGAGAGGGAGGAGUACCUUACGGGUGCACCGCUCACACCGCACUCGCUAAAAGGAAGAACUUCUGUACUCUCUGAGCUCCCAAGGCCUGGAGCAGACUCCUCUCAGAGUUGGUGCAAGUACCUAUUCUGGACACUUUUAAAAAACAUUUGGAUACUUAUCUUGCUGGGAUCAUUUGACCCUCCCUGACUUCCUCCCCUUGGGCAGUGGGCUGGACCCGAUGAUCUUAGGAGGUCCCUUCCAGCCCUAAUGUCUGUGAAUCUGCAAAUGUGCCAUGCUGCAGCCACCCCAGCCCCAUUAGUCCUGUCCCAGCUAGGCUCAAACUCCAGGGGGGCCCAAAAUCAGGGGAGCCGUGUGCUUGGGGCGGGGAGGUUGUUUCUGUUUGCUGUGUGUCAGUGUUGGAGCCCCUUAGGGUCACAUUUCUGAGCUUUUCUCUGGAAACUGCCAGGCUUGAAAGAUCAUUACUUUUAAUCAGCAAUCCUGGGACUCUGGGAGCUGGCACUUCAUGAAAUACCACAUACCCAGAGGCAUGGGGAGCAAGCACCUUGCCCAAGCUUGUAAAGGAAGGGAGCCAAGGCCCAGCCACUUGUUCAUAGAUUCAUAGACUGUUCAUGGCUAGAAGGGACCUCCAAAGAUCACUGGGUCCAGCCCCCUGCACCAGGCAGGAAAGACAACUGGGAUCAGGGGACUCCAGCAAGGUGCCCUCCAGUCUCCUCUUGAAAACUUCCCAGGGGAAUACCUAGGUUUUCCUGAAGAAGUGUAUUGUAUUAUUUCACCCAGCAAGGACACUCCUCCAGAGAGGUAGAUCGCACAUUUGAAAGAGCCACCUGGAUACCACAUGAAGAACUGCUGCAGUACAGAAGAAAAACACCCACAAAUCGCACACCGCUGGUUAUGACCUAUCACCCAUCCCUUGAACCUAUACGGAAAAUCCUCAAAAAAUUGCAACCCAUAUUAGAAAAAGACCCUAUUCUUAAAAAAAUCUUCCCAGAGCCACCCAUCCUAGCCUUCAGACAAGCACCGAACCUCGCCAACCUCAUCACCAGAAGCAAACUUCCUCAGCCCCAGAACACGCCAAAAGGAUCCAGACCGUGCCAUGACAAGAAAAGCAAAACCUGCCCCCACAUCUCCACCACCUCCACUAUUACUACACCCCACAACAGAGCCAUCAGCAUCCCAGGAUCUUACAGCUGCACCUCCAGGAAUGUAGUAUACCUCAUCCAAUGCACCAAAUGCCCUGAUGGAAGAUAUGUAGGAGAGACCAGACAACAACUGCGCACCAGAAUGAACGCACAUCGGAAAUCCAUCAAAGACAGAAACACCCAAUUACCUGUGGGGGCACAUUUCUCACAGGAGGGCCACUCUCUCUCCAAUCUCAGUCCUGAUCCUCAAGGGAAAUUUACACAACACUUCCCAGAGACGAGCCUAUGAGCUCCAUUUCAUCAACCUGCUGGAUACUAGAGAUCAGGGACUAAACAUAGACACUGGAUUUUUGAUAUAUUACAAUCCGCCUGGCAACUGACUCCCCAGCCCAGCCCAGCCCCUGGCUUGUUUACUUUUCAUUCCAUCCAGGAAGAGCACGCAGCAAGUGCUGCAGCGUCCUUAGCCUGACGAAGGGUUUUUGAACCCGAAAGCUUGCUUAAUAACUAUUCUCCAACCAUUUGGGUUGGUCUAAUAAAAGAUAUCAAAUUCACCCAAGGAACCUUGUCUGCCUGUAUUGUAAGGAAGAAUUUAAAGAAGAAAGAACAAAGGGUUGGGUCCAAGAGAGUAUUCAAGGCAUGCUCAAUUUUUAAAACUUGUAAUCACUCUGUUGUACAGAGAGAGACAGACAGAGAGAGAGAGAGAGAGUGAGAAACAACCCUUGGAAAUUAGUCAAAACAGUAAUAUAUGACAGAACACUGAGAACAAAACAGUAAUAAUCACAGCAGAAAAUAGCACUAAAAAUAUAAUAUAUUUGGAUAUUCUAUAUUGCAAAUCCAUAUGCAGUAUUAGUAAAUAGUCCCUUAGCUUAAAGUAGUUGAAGUUAUUUAGAGAAGCAUAUCUGGAAUCAGAGCCAAAUCCUCUGUACUCUAACUUCUUUGGCUUCACGAAACUGACUCUCUAUAACACAAUACAGUACAAAACAAAUGAUAAGACCAAGAGAGAGAUUAGGGCCUAGUUCCUGCAAAUACUUAAGCACGUGCUUAACUGUAAGAUCUUAGAUGGAUAAUGUUAAAAUGUGUUUAAGACUUGGAUCCUGUAUACAUAAUAUAAGUGUUAAAAUAAUUCGCAAAUAAUGUUUAUUAAGCAUGAACUAUGCUAAAUCAUUGUAAAGCUUUGGGAAAAUAUAUUCUAAAUUUCAAUUAGCUUAGGAAUGUUUCUGCAGCUGAGGCUAUAACACGAGAAAUUAGUUAUUAUAUUGCUCUAUUACUAUUAUAUUUUGCCCCCUGGUGGCUGUUCCACUUUCUUCAAACAGAGGUCUCAUACUGUAAGAAGUCCCUGUUGACCUGAAAGGAAGUAAAAGGAAGUUGGGGGGGAGGUAAGGGUGGAGAACAGGAAACAGAAUAAUGUAACACUUAAAGAUAUACUAUCUUGAC